This 496-nucleotide ribosomal RNA is filed under the name uncultured bacterium. Its description in RNAcentral is "partial 16S ribosomal RNA". It matches the Rfam family "Bacterial small subunit ribosomal RNA", at positions 28 to 506 of the family's 1533-position model. The record is from RNAcentral.
GAUGAACGCUGGCGGCGUGCCUAAUACAUGCAAGUCGAGCGAACAGACGAGGAGCUUGCUCCUCUGACGUUUGCGGCGGGCGUGUGAGUAACACGUGGAUAACCUACCUAUCAGUCUGGGAUAACUUCGGGACACCGGCGCUACUACCGGAUAAUCUAUUGAACCGCAUGGUUCAAUAGUGAAAUACGGUUUUUCUGUCACUUAUCGAUGGAUCCGCGCCGCUUUGGCUAGUUGGUAAGGUAACGGCUUUUCAAGGAGACGCUGCGUAGCCGACCUGGGGGGGGGUAGGGCCACGCAGGAACUGAGACACGACCCAGACACCGACGGGAGGCAGCAGUAGGGAAUCUGCCGCAAUGGGCGAAAGCCUGACGGAGCAACGCCGCGGGAGUGAUGAAGGGCUGCGGAUCGUAAAACGCUGUUAUUAGGGAAGAACAAAUGUGUAAGUAACGAUGCACGUCUGGACGGUACCUAAUCAGAAAGCCACGGCUAACUACGU